AUCUAGAAAAGCUAGGGCUUUUCUCCACCGCCGCUAUCGUCGUCGCGUGGCGUCGCAAUCAUAUAUCCACCGCCAUCGUCGUCUCCAUCGCUAUCCCCUCCUUCAUUGUUGUCUCCACUGCAAUCGGAAUCCCUUCCUCCACUGCCAUCGCGAUUACCACCGCCACCGCCACCGCCAUCGCGAUUACCACCGCCACCGCCAUCGCCAACGCCACUAAUGUCUCCGCUUUCUUCUCGUAUUGAUUUUUUGCCCUAAAAUUUAUGUCUACCUACGUUUUACUCUUUAAACGUUUUAUUAGGUAAAUUUGUAUUGUUGCCAAUGGACUUCAUCAUUUCUAGAAUGCCGAAAUUCACUGUCCUCUCUCCUUCUUUAGCUCAUUGGCAACAAUAAAAAGCUUCAACUUGAGGAUGUGAAUGCUGUCUCUAUGAGCUUUGGCC
This 437-nucleotide long non-coding RNA is filed under the name Erythranthe guttata (spotted monkey flower). Its description in RNAcentral is "long non-coding RNA (EGUT_LNC000964)". Lineage: Eukaryota; Viridiplantae; Streptophyta; Magnoliopsida; Lamiales; Phrymaceae. The record is from RNAcentral.